Molecule: ribosomal RNA, 497 nt
Filed under: uncultured bacterium
Lineage: Bacteria
Description: partial 16S ribosomal RNA
Rfam family: Bacterial small subunit ribosomal RNA
Source: RNAcentral
GAUGAACGCUGGCGGCGUGCCUAAUACAUGCAAGUCGAGCGAACGGACGAGAAGCUUGCUUCUCUGCUGUUAGCGGCGGACGGGUGAGUAACACGUGGAUAACCUACCUCUAAGACUGGGAUAACUUCGGGAAACAGGAUCUAAUACCGGAUAAUAUUUUGAACCGCAUGGUUCAAAAGUAAAAGACGGUCUUGCUGUCACUUAUAGAUGGAUCCGCGCUGGAUUAGCUAGUUGGUAAGGUAACGGCUUACCAAGGCGACGAUGCAUAGCCGACCUGAGAGGAUGAUCGGCCACACUGGAACUGAGACACGGUCCAGACUCCUACGGGAGGCAGCAGUAGGGAAUCUUCCGCAAUGGGCGAAAGCCUGACGGAGCAACGCCGCGUGAGUGAUGAAGGUCUUCGGAUCGUAAAACUCUGUUAUUAGGGAAGAACAUAUGUGUAAGUAACUGUGCACAUCUUGACGGUACCUAAUCAAAAAGCCACGGCUAACUACGUG